RNAcentral lists this microRNA (21 nucleotides) under Homo sapiens (human). Its description in RNAcentral is "hsa-miR-6502-3p". Lineage: Eukaryota; Metazoa; Chordata; Mammalia; Primates; Hominidae. The record is from miRBase by way of RNAcentral.
UAGACCAUCUUUCUAGAGUAU